CCUACGGGAGGCAGCAGUGGGGAAUAUUGCACAAUGGGGGAAACCCUGAUGCAGCGACGCCGCGUGAGUGAAGAUGUAAUUCGUUACGUAAAGCUCUAUCAGCAGGGAAGAAACACUUCCCUUACGGUCAGCAGACGGUACCUGAGUAAGAAGCCCUGGCCAACUACGUGCCAGCAGCCGCGGUAAUACGUAGGGGGCAAGCGUUAUCCGGAUUUACUGGGUGUAAAGGGAGCGUAGACGGUGCGGCAAGUCUGGCGUGAAAUGCCGCGGCUUAACUGCGGAACUGCAUUGGAAACUGGCGAACUAGAGUGCGGGAGGGGUGAGAGGAAUGCGUAGUGUAGCGGUGAAAUGCGUAGAUAUUAGGAGGAACACCGGUGGCGAAGGCGGCUUACUGGACCGUAACUGACGUUGAGGCUCGAAAGCGUGGGGAGCAAACAGGAUUAGAUACCCCAGUAGUC
Molecule: ribosomal RNA, 458 nt
Filed under: uncultured bacterium
Lineage: Bacteria
Description: partial 16S ribosomal RNA
Rfam family: Bacterial small subunit ribosomal RNA
Source: RNAcentral